GGACUACACGGGUUUCUAAUCCUGUUUGCUCCCCACGCUUUCGCGCCUCAGCGUCAGUAACGGGCCAGUGAGUCGCCUUCGCCACUGGUGUUCUUCCGAAUAUCUACGAAUUUCACCUCUACACUCGGAGUUCCACUCACCUCUCCCGUACUCAAGACAGCCAGUAUCAAAGGCAAUUCCAAGGUUGAGCCCUGGGCUUUCACCUCUGACUAAACUGUCCGCCUACGCGCCCUUUACGCCCAGUAAAUCCGAGCAACGCUAGCCCCCUUCGUAUUACCGCGGCGGCUGGCAC
Molecule: ribosomal RNA, 292 nt
Filed under: uncultured bacterium
Lineage: Bacteria
Description: partial 16S ribosomal RNA
Source: RNAcentral